CAGAAUCCCGCCUAGACGUAAUGAUACCGGAGCGCCGCGGAUCUUCGGUUGGUCUCGGAUAGCCGGCUCCGGCCGGUGCGGAGAGCCGUUCGUCACGGGGCUGGGGUGUGACCCGAGGGUGGUCGCCCCUCUCCCAUAGCGCACAGCAUGUUCGUGGAGAACCUGGUGCUAAAUCACUUGCAGACGACCUGAUUCUGGGUCAGGGUUUCGUGCGUCGNAGAGCAGCUACCUCGCUGCGAUCU
Molecule: ribosomal RNA, 242 nt
Filed under: Belone belone
Lineage: Eukaryota; Metazoa; Chordata; Actinopteri; Beloniformes; Belonidae
Description: partial 28S ribosomal RNA
Source: RNAcentral